UACGGGGGGUGCGAGCGUUGUCCGGAAUCACUGGGCGUAAAGGGCGCGUAGGUGGCUUUGUAAGUUUGCGGUGAAAGUUCGGGGCUCAACCCCGAAUCGGCCGUCGAUACUCCCGGGCUUGAGCACUGUAGAGGCUAAUGGAAUUCCGGGUGUAGCGGUGGAAUGCGUAGAGAUCCGGAAGAACACCGGUGGCGAAGGCGGUUAGCUGGGCAGUUGCUGACACUGAGGCGCGACAGCGUGGGGAGCAAACAGG
RNAcentral lists this ribosomal RNA (253 nucleotides) under uncultured bacterium. Its description in RNAcentral is "partial 16S ribosomal RNA". It matches the Rfam family "Bacterial small subunit ribosomal RNA", at positions 524 to 776 of the family's 1533-position model. The record is from RNAcentral.